Molecule: ribosomal RNA, 492 nt
Filed under: uncultured bacterium
Lineage: Bacteria
Description: partial 16S ribosomal RNA
Rfam family: Bacterial small subunit ribosomal RNA
Source: RNAcentral
AGUGAACGCUGGCGGUAGGCCUAACACAUGCAAGUCGAACGGCAGCACAGUAAGAGUUUGCUCUUCCGGGUGGCGAGUGGCGGGCGGGUGAGGUAUACAGCGGAAUCUACUUUUUCGUGGGGGAUAACGUAGGGACACUUACGAUAAUACCGCAUACGACCUACGGGUGAAAGCAGGAGAUCUUCGGAUCUUGCGCGCUUGUAUGAGCCGAUGUCGGAUUAGCUAGUUGGCGGGGUAAAGGCACACCAAGGCGACGAUCCGUAGCUGGUCUGAGAGGAUGAUCAGCCACACUGGAACUGAGACACGGUCCAGACUCCUACGGGAGGCAGCAGUGGGGAAUAUUGGACAAUGGGCGCAGGCCUGAUCCAGCCAUGCCGCGUGUGUGAAGAAGGCCUUCGGGUUGUAAAGCCCUUUUGUUGGGAAAGAAAAGAAGAAGGUUAAUACCCCGCUGUUUUGACGGUACCCAAAGAAGAAGCACCGGCUAACUUCGUG